CAAGAGAUAGUUUAAUUAAAAAUAUUAAUUUUGGAAAUUAAUGAUAAAGAGUUUCUUUUCUCUUGA
Molecule: transfer RNA, 66 nt
Filed under: Muscina stabulans
Lineage: Eukaryota; Metazoa; Arthropoda; Insecta; Diptera; Muscidae
Description: tRNA-Pro
Rfam family: tRNA
About the family: Transfer RNA (tRNA) molecules are approximately 80 nucleotides in length. Their secondary structure includes four short double-helical elements and three loops (D, anti-codon, and T loops).
Source: RNAcentral